Molecule: ribosomal RNA, 260 nt
Filed under: uncultured bacterium
Lineage: Bacteria
Description: partial 16S ribosomal RNA
Rfam family: Bacterial small subunit ribosomal RNA
Source: RNAcentral
GAACGGGUGAGUAACACGUGGGUAACCUGCCCAUCAGAAGGGGAUAACACUUGGAAACAGGUGCUAAUACCGUAUAACAAUCGAAACCGCAUGGUUUCGGUUUGAAAGGCGCUUUUGCGUCACUGAUGGAUGGACCCGCGGUGCAUUAGCUAGUUGGUGAGGUAACGGCUCACCAAGGCAACGGUGCAUAGCCGACCUGAGAGGGUGAUCGGCCACAUUGGGACUGAGACACGGCCCAAACUCCUACGGGAGGCAGCAUG